Molecule: ribosomal RNA, 308 nt
Filed under: uncultured Rhodoferax sp.
Lineage: Bacteria; Pseudomonadati; Pseudomonadota; Betaproteobacteria; Burkholderiales; Comamonadaceae
Description: bacterial SSU rRNA
Rfam family: Bacterial small subunit ribosomal RNA
Source: RNAcentral
UGUUGGUUAAGUCCCGCAACGAGCGCAACCCUUGUCAUUAGUUGCUACAUUCAGUUGGGGCACCCCUAAUGAGACUGCCGGUGACAAGCCGGAGGAAGGUGGGGAUGACGUCAAGUCCUCAUGGCCCUUAUAGGUGGGGCUACACACGUCAUACAAUGGCUGGUACAAAGGGUUGCCAACCCGCGAGGGGGAGCCAAUCCCAUAAAGCCAGUCGUAGUCCGGAUCGUAGUCUGCAACUCGACUACGUGAAGUCGGAAUCGCUAGUAAUCGUGGAUCAGAAUGUCACAGUGAAUACGUUCCCGGGUCUU